GUGAUCACUUAAUCACCACUGUACUAAACCUAGAACAACACAGAAAGAGUAGCAUGGCCCCUGUGCAAAGAUGGCAUGCAGAUGUACAAAAAAAGCCU
RNAcentral lists this small nuclear RNA (98 nucleotides) under Nannospalax galili (Upper Galilee mountains blind mole rat). The record is from RNAcentral. Lineage: Eukaryota; Metazoa; Chordata; Mammalia; Rodentia; Spalacidae.